GACGAACGCUGGCGGCGUGCCUAAUACAUGCAAGUAGAACGCACAGUUUAUACCGUAGCUUGCUACACCAUAAACUGUGAGUUGCGAACGGGUGAGUAACGCGUAGGUAACCUGCCUGGUAGCGGGGGAUAACUAUUGGAAACGAUAGCUAAUACCGCAUAAUAUUGAUUAUUGCAUGAUAAUUGAUUGAAAGAUGCUAUUGCAUCACUACCAGAUGGACCUGCGUUGUAUUAGCUAGUAGGUGAGGUAACGGCUCACCUAGGCGACGAUACGUAGCCGACCUGAGAGGGUGAUCGGCCACACUGGGACUGGGACACGGCCCAGACUCCUACGGGAGGCAGCAGUAGGGAAUCUUCGGCAAUGGACGAAAGUCUGACCGAGCAACGCCGCGUGAGUGAAGAAGGUUUUCGGAUCGUAAAGCUCUGUUGUAAGAGAAGAACGGGUGUGAGAGUGGAAAGUUCACACUGUGACGGUAUCUUACCAGAAAGGGACGGCUAACUACGUG
RNAcentral lists this ribosomal RNA (505 nucleotides) under uncultured bacterium. RNAcentral's name for it is "partial 16S ribosomal RNA". It matches the Rfam family "Bacterial small subunit ribosomal RNA", at positions 28 to 507 of the family's 1533-position model. The record is from RNAcentral.